Small nuclear RNA from Chlorocebus sabaeus (green monkey), 104 nucleotides. The record is from Ensembl. NCBI's taxonomy places the organism in Eukaryota, Metazoa, Chordata, Mammalia, Primates, Cercopithecidae.
GUGCUCGCUUCAGCAGCACAUAUACUAAAAUUAGAAUGAUACAGAGAUUAGCAUGUCCCGAGCACAAGGAUGACAGGCAAAUUCAUGAAGCAUUCCAUUAAAAA